This 398-nucleotide ribosomal RNA is filed under the name uncultured bacterium. Its description in RNAcentral is "bacterial SSU rRNA". It matches the Rfam family "Bacterial small subunit ribosomal RNA", at positions 30 to 420 of the family's 1533-position model. The record is from RNAcentral.
AUUGAACGCUGGCGGCAUGCUUUACACAUGCAAGUCGAACGGCAGCGAGAGAGAAGCUUGCUUCUCUUGUCGGCGAGUGGCGAACGGGUGAGUAAUACAUCGGAACGUACCCUGUAGUGGGGGAUAACUACUCGAAAGAGUGGCUAAUACCGCAUACAACCUGAGGGUAAAAGUGGGGGACCGCAAGGCCUCACGCUAUAGGAGCGGCCGAUGGAAGAUUAGCUAGUUGGUGAGGUAACGGCUUACCAAGGCGACGAUCUGUAGCGGGUCUGAGAAGAUGAUCCGCCACACUGGAACUGAGACACGGUCCAGACUCCUACGGGAGGCAGCAGUGGGGAAUUUUGGACAAUGGGCGCAAGCCUGAUCCAGCCAUGCCGCGUGAGUGAAGAAGGCCUCGG